Molecule: non-coding RNA, 67 nt
Organism: Trichonephila clavipes
Lineage: Eukaryota; Metazoa; Arthropoda; Arachnida; Araneae; Nephilidae
Source: the annotation of a GenBank genome assembly
GCCAGUAUGGUGGUUAGAACACUCGACUUUUAAUCGAGGGAGCUCGGAUUCGAAUCCCGAAUAAGCA